UAUUACUGUGGUUCUAAUCUCUCCACUGCUCUUGAUGGAAUCACUGGUCCAGCUAUCCGGGUGUUGUAACUCCCGACCCUUCCUGUCAGUCCAGCAUCUUCUGAUGGAACGGCUUGUAGCGGUUACUGGGAAAAGGAUGGAAGAGGAAAUGGUCCACAAUCAUUGAGAGAUAUCAGCAAACCCAGGCUCUUCGCUGGAAACUCAGCUUGUAAGGUGGAGGCAGUGGCAGAGGAUGAAACAAGGAGUCUCAAGGAUGGCUUCCCAGGAAGAAACAUGCUCCAACUCAGUCCAAGGAUGAGAACCCUGACAAAAGAUGAUCUGUUGCACUCAAUUUUAUUGAUGGAAAUGUAUCAUGGCCUAAUGGAAAACACUUGGCCCUUGGAGUCAGGAGACCUGGGUUCUAAUGCUAGCUCCACC
Molecule: long non-coding RNA, 417 nt
Filed under: Ornithorhynchus anatinus (platypus)
Lineage: Eukaryota; Metazoa; Chordata; Mammalia; Monotremata; Ornithorhynchidae
Description: lncRNA (ENSOANG00000050264.1)
Source: RNAcentral